ACAAUGGGCGCGGCGCCCGAGCCCCUGACAGCGCCAUAAAUUGGCCGUGCAAAGCCGAGCGCUAGGUGGUCCCCCCUGGAGAAAAGAGCCGCCGCCGAGGGCGCGAAAAGGCGAGUCCGGAAGCCCGCCAGGGAGCCAGUGGCGCGUUUUCCAGAUCACCCUGUUGGAACUUAGCGUAGCAGAGGAAGAACACCAUGGAAUAAGGAGAAAGGAGAUACAAGUAGCCUCUCCAGGAAGAAUGUGACUGAAUACUUUUUAUACAAAACCACAAAAUUAGAUAAAUAUGUAUUUAAGUGUUAUUCCUGAAAGCUGGAGAAAGAAAUCUUACUUCUAAGAAUUGUUUAGCGAAGGAAUAAGAAAAUGUGAUGCUUGGAAGAAAAAACACACUGCCGAGAGGCCUUGCGCUGAGUGUGCUGAACAAUAGACAACCUCUAAGGAUGCUCGCCUGCAAUUCCGGCUCUGCCAUCAAUUCACUGUAUGCCUUUGGAAACUUGAAAAUUACACAUCUGACUUAAGUCUGUGGGAGCCACAGUGCUCUAGAGGGUCUUGCACUGGCAAUUGAAUGCUGCACCUCAUUGGCUAGAAUCAGUCACAUGACCACACCCAAUCUCAGGAAGGCCAGAAAAUGCAAUCCCACAAUGCAGCUGGAAGACAGCUAACUGGAAAUCAAUGCUGAGAAGUCCUAAGAAAUGCCACAGGAAGAGAAAGAGGCAGGGGGCCGGCAGAGGCCAGAACAAAUUUUGGAAAGUAUAUUUAAGAUCAUCUGGGUUAAAUACGUGUUACCCGACAUCCAAAAAUUACUUGGAAAGCCCUUGAGAAUACCUCCAGGAUCUAAGCAGUCAACCUCUAAAGCAACCAUUAAUAAAAUGGAGUCAUGAGACUGCCCUAUAACAGCUUGUGGAGAAAGAAAUGUCUCGCAUAUCACAAUAGUGUGGACAAAGAAGAUCAGCAACAAUUUGGGCAAAAUACAUACACACACGCACAUACACACACACACACACACACAAAGACAGACAUUCGCUAACUUUGGUUUGCUAUUGAGCUGCUUCUUAUCUGGGCAAUUCUACAUAGUACACUCUAGGAUACCAAGCAACUAUUUGGGCAAAAUACACACAUACACAUACAAAUACACACAUACACAUACAAACACACACACACACAUACACAGGCAGACAUUCGCACACUUUGAUUUGCUAUUGAGCUGCUUCUUAUCUGGGCUACUCUGUGUAGUACACUCCGUGGUGAGAAGCAACAGGGAUUUAUUGAUUGAUCAGUCAAUGAGUAUUGUUCUCCUGAGAAAAGCUGAGAGGUCGGCAAGUGCACGCAAAUGUGCAGAUCAUCUACAAGACAUGAAUGAUGUUCAGAAUUACUUGUCAUGCCCUUUGCUUGGGGCUGAAAACAAGAUGCAGUCACACAGAUUUCAAUGGAGUGUGUACUCUAGAGGCAGACUGCCUGGGAUCAAAAUGCUUGCAGUAUAACCAUUGACAGCUUCCAUAACUUAUCUCUUCCCAGGUUAAUCAACCUGUAAAAUGGGGUAAUAUCUGCUCCUCCCUCAUAGGGUUGUGCAUAAAAAUCUCAUGAGAUUAUAGGUGUAGAGAGUAUGCAACUAAGACAUGCCUGAGUGAAGUUUCCUAGGAGCCAGAUAAUUAAUCCAACAUUUAUCUGAAAUGCUGAACUAACUUGCAUAAUUCUUCAAAUGAAUAUCACACCUUCGAUGGGGACAUACAAAUUGUUUCAACCUGAGGCUUGAAAAUAUGUGUCAUAAAGCAUUCUGAUUUAUCAAGAACACGUUGUAAUUUGUUGCAUUUGGAAUGUAGCUACCUAACUUCCUGAAUAUUUUAAUAAAAUACCUGUAAAAUUACACAAUCAAAACUAUACCUCCACCAAGCAAAGUGACAGAGAUGGUACUAACAUCAACAAAAAGAAUCUUUCCAACCAUGUAAGGUUGUAAUGUUAAAUUCCCAUUCACGAUCAAAAUUCCACAUAUUUACAACCUGCAAACAUCCCAAAUUCACACUUCAACAUCUGUGUGGCUGCCAACUUCUACUGAAAUCUGUAGCAUGCUUUUUUAGAAGUGGAGGAAAAAAGAAUAAAAAA
Molecule: long non-coding RNA, 2097 nt
Filed under: Homo sapiens (human)
Lineage: Eukaryota; Metazoa; Chordata; Mammalia; Primates; Hominidae
Description: HSALNT0304635
Source: RNAcentral